CAUAUAUAUGUAUAUAUAGUUUCCACAUACAUGUCCUAGAUUAUUACAGCAUAUAUUCAUAAAAGUUAUUAGAUAAAUAUCAUCUGAACUUCAUAAAACCUUUAUAGGUAGCUGAGUCCUAAAUAUGAUUAUAUUUACAGGUCAGGAAAAUGAGUGUUAAAGAAGUUAAAUUACUUGCUCACCCACACAGGACCAAGAUUCAAGCAGGGAUCCUGACUCUAGUCACAUGAAAAGUGUCAGCUUGCAUGGUCAUCAAUUCCCAGAGAGCUUAUGAAAGGACAUGAACCCUUGCAGCUCUGAGUUCUCAUGUAAGAGCCCAGCUAGCCAUGCUACCAUGCUCGAGACUCUGAGGGAAACUACAAUGAAACAGAGCAAGAUGCCCAAGAAGCCCCAGUUAUGAGGGUGUAGAGGAAGUUCUUCAUAACAUUUUCAUGAACAUUUUCAUUUACCCUACCCACUUCAUCCCUCCUGACCUUUUGUGGUAAGUGAUGCUUCUGAUUCUUUAGGCCUUUCCAGAAUGCUAUGGAGAAAGCAAUAAUCUUGUUCUCACAGUAUCUCUCUGCAAACUCUUAGAUUUGAAAUUUUUCAUUCUGUUACAUCAGGUGCUACUCCACUCCCAUUUCCAUGUUCCUAUGUUUGACCUUAGAGUUAGAGAAAUUAUCUAGACUAUGUGUUUAGAGUAUGUAUUUCUGUCUCUUAUUCUCCUUAUUGCUUGUGGUUUUCAUAAGGAAAGGGAAUUGAAACCUGAAGUUGAGCAUUCUUUCUUAGAAACACCUGAAAUUAGGUGUUAGGUGAAACAGGAACGAAGGGAAUGGCAUUCCAGGAAAAAGUCAAUAACACAGUUUCUAGCUACUGUCAGGUGUAAUUGUGGUAGCAGAAUAUUGUCAUACCUAUCUUAUAUUUAUUUUUUAAAUUUAUUUACGUUUUUAUUUUAAUUCCAGUUUAUUAACAUAUAGUGUUAUGUUAAUUUCAAGUGUACAAUAUAGUGAUUCAACAGUUCCAUACAUCACCCUGUGCUCCUCACAAUGA
Acinonyx jubatus (cheetah) is the source of this 1029-nucleotide long non-coding RNA. RefSeq lists it as uncharacterized. Lineage: Eukaryota; Metazoa; Chordata; Mammalia; Carnivora; Felidae. The transcript is spliced from 3 exons. The record is from RefSeq and is a predicted model, not a curated record.